This 77-nucleotide transfer RNA is filed under the name Enterobacter ludwigii. Its description in RNAcentral is "tRNA-Lys". It matches the Rfam family "tRNA". From Rfam's summary of the family: Transfer RNA (tRNA) molecules are approximately 80 nucleotides in length. Lineage: Bacteria; Pseudomonadati; Pseudomonadota; Gammaproteobacteria; Enterobacterales; Enterobacteriaceae. RNAcentral also lists the same sequence under 1 other name. The record is from RNAcentral.
GCUUCCAUAGCUCAACUGGUCAGAGCUACCGCCUCUUAAGCGGAGGGUUGAAGGUUCAAGUCCUUCUGGGAGUACCA